GAUGAACGCUGGCGGCGUGCUUAAUACAUGCAAGUCGAGCGGUAAGGCUUUCACAAUUUACUUGAUACAGAGACAGGACGCGGCUUAAAGAGCCGCAUCAAAAACGAGAGAUGAACGGCAAAAAUCUUAAGUGAGUUUCUGAAUUCAUCAAGUGAAAUGUGAAAGUACACGAGCGGCGGACGGGUGAGUAACGCAUAGGAAUGUACCCCGAAGUGAGGGAUAAGCNCCGGAAACGGAGUCUAAUACCGCAUAUUCUCUUCGGAGCAAAGCCUUCGGGCGCUUUGGGAACAGCCUAUGUCUGAUUAGCUAGUUGGUAGGGUAAAGGCCUACCAAGGCGACGAUCAGUAGCUGGUUUGAGAGGACGAUCAGCCACACUGGGACUGAGAUACGGCCCAGACUCCUACGGGAGGCAGCAGUAGGGUAAUUUUCCACAAUGGGCGAAAGCCUGAUGGAGCGACGCCGCGUGCAGGAUGAAUGCC
RNAcentral lists this ribosomal RNA (479 nucleotides) under uncultured bacterium. Its description in RNAcentral is "bacterial SSU rRNA". It matches the Rfam family "Bacterial small subunit ribosomal RNA", at positions 28 to 416 of the family's 1533-position model. The record is from RNAcentral.